UGAGCGGAGAUAUAUGGAGCUUGCUUUAUAUAACUUAGCAGCGAACGGGUGAGUAACACGUAGAUAAUCUAUCCUAUACUGGGGGAUAGCCCGAUGAAAGUUGGAUUAGUACCGCAUAUAGCUAUAUAGUUGCAUGAUUAUGUAGUGAAAGAUUUAUUGGUAUAGGAGGAGUCUGCGGCACAUUAGCUAGUAGGUGAGGUAAAGGCUUACCUAGGCGACGAUGUGUAGCCGGUCUGAGAGGAUGAACGGCCACAAUGGAACUGAGACACGGUCCAUACUCCUACGGGAGGCAGCAGUGGGGAAUAUUGCACAAUGGGGGAAACCCUGAUGCAGCUACGCCGCGUGAGUGAAGAAGGUUUUCGGAUUGUAAAGCUCUGUUAGCAGGGAAGAGGAAGGACGGUACCUGCAGAGGAAGCCACGGCUAACUACGUGCCAGCAGCCGCGGUAAUACGUAGGUGGCAAGCGUUGUUCGGAGUAACUGGGCGUAAAGGAUGCGUAGGCGGUUAAACAAGUUAUAUGUUAAAUAUAUAGGCUUAACCUGUAGAAAGCAUAUAAAACUGUUUAACUAGAGUGCAGGAGAGGUAAGUGGAAUUCCUAGUGUAGCGGUGAAAUGCGUAGAGAUUAGGAAGAACACCAGUGGCGAAGGCGACUUACUGGACUGUAACUGACGCUGAGGCAUGAGAGCAUGGGGAGCAAACAGGAUUAGAUACCCUGGUAGUCCAUGCUGUAAACGAUGGGUACUAGGUGUGGGUUGUGAAUAACAAUUCGUGCCGUCGCAAACGCAAUAAG
RNAcentral lists this ribosomal RNA (789 nucleotides) under uncultured bacterium. RNAcentral describes it as "bacterial SSU rRNA". It matches the Rfam family "Bacterial small subunit ribosomal RNA", at positions 63 to 864 of the family's 1533-position model. The record is from RNAcentral.